This 253-nucleotide ribosomal RNA is filed under the name uncultured bacterium. Its description in RNAcentral is "partial 16S ribosomal RNA". It matches the Rfam family "Bacterial small subunit ribosomal RNA", at positions 524 to 776 of the family's 1533-position model. The record is from RNAcentral.
UACGGGGGGGGCAAGCGUUGUUCGGAAUUACUGGGCGUAAAGGGCUCGUAGGCGGCCAACUAAGUCGGAUGUGAAAUCCCCAGGCUUAACCUGGGAAUUGCAUCCGAUACUGGAUGGCUUGAAUCCGGGAGAGGUGAGUGGAAUUCCUAGUGUAGAGGUGAAAUUCGUAGAUAUUAGGAAGAACACCAGUGGCGAAGGCGGCUCACUGGCCCGGUACUGACGCUGAGGCGCGAAAGCGUGGGGAGCAAACAGG